AGAACUCGUUAAUUACAUUCUGGUAAUUCAAAGUGAAAACUAUAUUACCAAGAAAAAGAAAACGCGAGAGGAACUUCUUGCUAUGUUAGGUUUGACCCCGUAACGACUCAUGUUGAAAGAUACAUGGACUCAUGCGUUGAGGAAUCCAGCCUCAGUUUGCAAAAACUUGAGCUGGACAGCUCGUAUGGGUAAAAUGCAGCCCCCCUCUGCUCGCAAGCAGAGGGGGAAGGUAUAGUCUACACUCCUAGAAAUAGGGGA
This 258-nucleotide non-coding RNA is filed under the name Parcubacteria group bacterium GW2011_GWC1_40_13. The record is from RNAcentral.